RNAcentral lists this ribosomal RNA (430 nucleotides) under uncultured bacterium. RNAcentral's name for it is "bacterial SSU rRNA". It matches the Rfam family "Bacterial small subunit ribosomal RNA", at positions 340 to 786 of the family's 1533-position model. The record is from RNAcentral.
UACGGGAGGCAGCAGUGGGGAAUCUUGCGCAAUGGGCGAAAGCCUGACGCAGCCAUGCCGCGUGAAUGAUGAAGGUCUUAGGAUUGUAAAAUUCUUUCACCGGGGACGAUAAUGACGGUACCCGGAGAAGAAGCCCCGGCUAACUUCGUGCCAGCAGCCGCGGUAAUACGAAGGGGCUAGCGUUGCUCGGAAUUACUGGGCGUAAAGGGAGCGUAGGCGGACAUUUAAGUCAGGGGUGAAAUCCCGGGGCUCAACCUCGGAAUUGCCUUUUGAUACCGGGUGUCUUGAGUAUGAGAGAGGUGUGUGGAACUCCGAGUGUAGAGGUGAAAUUCGUAGAUAUUCGGAAGAACACCAGUGGCGAAGGCGACACACUGGCUCAUUACUGACGCUGAGGCUCGAAAGCGUGGGGAGCAAACAGGGAUUAGAUACC